UACGUAGGGUGCGAGCGUUGUCCGGAAUUAUUGGGCGUAAAGCGUCCGCAGGUGGCGAUUCAAGUCUGCGGUCAAAGACUGGGGCUUAACCCUGGAAAGGCCGUGGAAACUGAAUAGCUAGAGUGCAGUAGGGGUAGAGGGAAUUCCCGGUGUAGCGGUGAAAUGCGUAGAGCUCGGGAAGAACAUCGGUGGCGAAAGCGCUCUGCUGGACUGCAACUGACACUCAGGGACGAAAGCUAGGGGAGCGAAUGGG
RNAcentral lists this ribosomal RNA (253 nucleotides) under uncultured bacterium. RNAcentral describes it as "partial 16S ribosomal RNA". It matches the Rfam family "Bacterial small subunit ribosomal RNA", at positions 524 to 776 of the family's 1533-position model. The record is from RNAcentral.